Molecule: long non-coding RNA, 1828 nt
Filed under: Pelobates cultripes (western spadefoot toad)
Lineage: Eukaryota; Metazoa; Chordata; Amphibia; Anura; Pelobatidae
Source: RNAcentral
AAAAAGGUGAUUUACUUACCUUAUUUCCAGCGCCAUGUUGGUCUCCUUGCGGCUGGCCCUGCACUGCUCCACCCCCUUGGCAGAGAUCAUCAAAUUUGAUGAUCUCAGCCAAUUCAAUGCUUUCCUGCAUUAUGCGGCACUGCACCAAUCAGCAUCUCAUAGAGAUGCAUAGAAUCAGUGCAUCUCUAUGUGGAGCAUCAGUGCUGCCCCUGUGCAGCAUUGACACAGGAAGCACCUCUAGUGUAAGCACUGCCUCUGAAAAGGCAGUGUCUACUUUAAAAAGCCUGCUGGAACAGGCUUUAGACACCAGAACACAUACAUUAAGCUGUAGUGGUUAUGGUGACUAUGAUGUCCCUUUAAAUACGUUUUGGAACAUAGAAGCAGGACUUGCUUCGUUUAUGGAAGGGAGGGAGAGAUGGAUGUUUAGUUUGUUGGUUUCUAGGAAACACAGAUGACUAUAGUACUAACCUCGUAUGUUUUAUACAUUUUAGCUCUAUCCGCAUGUAUUGCUGAAAGUGAUUUCUGUGAUUAUUCUGAACGUAUGAUAACCUUCUCACAGGGACAUAGAAAAAGAAAUUACACAAUGUGGCAAUUGGUGUGUUUGUAAAUCCUGAUUACAUGUAUCCUGAUAUCAAAUCAAUUAGCUUUCCGCAUGACAAAUAAUAGGCAGUAUGGAGUUAGCUGGCUUUUCACACUUAGUUCCCUGAUUACACUCAGAAGCAAAUUGCUUGGAUUUUAGCUCUGAUGGAACUGAGCAGUGCUGUAUCUAGUAAUUAAUUGAAAAUCCAGCUUUAGUGCUUUGUCUUGUCACAGCAAUGCGACUCUGCUCUGAUCAGAUCUAUCUGCAAAUGAUAAGCAAUGCUGGCUGAAUGUUCCCAUUUUAAAUCUGUGAUUACAGAUGUACAACAAGGAAACACUGUACUGAACUGCAUCGAGGCAUGAUUCUGCCGAGCGUACAUAUUGCCCUUUCUAUUAACCCUGCUGUUUCCUAUACCAACCAUUGAUUUUAACAGAGUUACGUAGCAAUCUGGGGCUUACCUAGAAAAUUUGGCACCGGGGGCGGAUCCUGUAUUUGGCAACACCACCCAGCCCCAAAUUAAAAUGUAAAAAACAGCCCCUCUGUCUCUUUGUCUCCCCAGGCCUUCUGUGUGGGUCUGUUUGUCCCCCCAACCCUUCUGUGGGUCUUUUUGUCCCCCCAACCCUUCUGUGGGUCUUUUUGUCCCCCUGCUGCACCUAUGUGUGUCUCUUUGUGCCCCUCAGCCCUUUAGUGUGUCUCUUUGUGUCCCUCAUUGUGUCUGUUUGUCCCCCAUCCUGUUUGAGUGUCUCUUUGUCCCUCAGCCCUUUCGUGGGUCUCUUUGUACCCCUCCAGCCCCUCUGUUUUUUUCUUUGUCCCACUCAGCCCCUCUGUAUGCCUCUUUGUGCCCCCAGCCACUCUGUGUGUCUCUUUGCCCCCUCUGUGUGUCUGUUUGUCUCACCAGCCAUUCUGUCUGUGUAGAUGUUUACCAGUCCCUCUGUCUUUGUCACACCUCUGCCCCUCAGUGUGUCUCAUUCACCCUCACCAGCCCCUCCAUGUGUCUGAUUACCACCCCAAUGUGUCUCAAUAACCCCCUAUCCCCUCCAUGUGUCUCAUUAUACCCCCAGUACCUCCAUGUGUCUCAUUAUACUCCCCCAGCCCUUCUAUGUGUCUCAUUAACCCCCACAGCCCCUCUAUGUGGCUGACCUGGAGACCGCAGUGGAGGAGCUUCUGUUUCUCUCUCUGGUCUGACAGGAAGCCGUUCUGUGCUCUCUGUGAACACUUCCUGUCAGAAAGGGUAGGGGAGCAGAAGCU